This 868-nucleotide ribosomal RNA is filed under the name uncultured Bacillota bacterium. Its description in RNAcentral is "bacterial SSU rRNA". It matches the Rfam family "Bacterial small subunit ribosomal RNA", at positions 56 to 957 of the family's 1533-position model. The record is from RNAcentral. Lineage: Bacteria; Bacillati; Bacillota.
UGCAAGUCGAACGAGAAAGUGGAGCAAUCCAUGAGUACAGUGGCGUACGGGUGAGUAACACGUGGGUAAUCUACCUCUUUGUGUGGAAUAACCCUGGGAAACCGGGGCUAAUACCGCAUAAGCUCGAGAGAGGAAAGCAGCAAUGCGCUGAGAGAGGAGCCCGCGGCCGAUUAGCUAGUUGGUAGGGUAAAAGCCUACCAAGGCAAAGAUCGGUAGCCGGCCUGAGAGGGCACACGGCCACACUGGCACUGAAACACGGGCCAGACUCCUACGGGAGGCAGCAGUGGGGAAUCUUGCACAAUGGGGGAAACCCUGAUGCAGCGACGCCGCGUGAGCGAUGAAGCCCUUCGGGGUGUAAAGCUCUUUCGGCAGGGAAGAUGAUGACGGUACCUGCAGAAGCAGCUGCGGCUAACUACGUGCCAGCAGCCGCGGUAAUACGUAGGCAGCAAGCGUUGUUCGGAGUUACUGGGCGUAAAGGGUGUGUAGGCGGUCUUCUAAGUUUGGUGUGAAAUCUCCCGGCUCAACUGGGAGGGUGCGCCGAAUACUGAAAGACUAGAGUGCGGGAGAGGAUAGUGGAAUCCCUGGUGUAGCGGUGAAAUGCGUAGAUAUCAGGAGGAACACCGGUGGUGUAGACGGCUAUCUGGACCGUAACUGACGCUGAGACACGAAAGCGUGGGUAGCAAACAGGAUUAGAUACCCUGGUAGUCCACGCCCUAAACGAUGCAUAUUUGGUGUGGGCAGUUCAGUCUGUCCGUGCCGGAGCUAACGCGUUAAAUAUGCCGCCUGGGGAGUACAGUCGCAAGGCUGAAACUCAAAGGAAUUGACGGGGGCCCGCACAAGCGGUGGAGCAUGUGGUUCAAUUCGACGC